This 1129-nucleotide long non-coding RNA is filed under the name Homo sapiens (human). RNAcentral describes it as "long intergenic non-protein coding RNA 293". Lineage: Eukaryota; Metazoa; Chordata; Mammalia; Primates; Hominidae. The record is from RNAcentral.
CUUGCCUUCUCUCUGGCUGCAGGUGGUAUUGCUCCAUAUGCCUGAGACCCUAACAAAAGCCUAAUUACAACUCAUAUGCCUGGAGCCAGGACAUGUGCAGGAUGGUGAUGUAACUUUCCUCUCUGGAAUGGGUCCUGCACAAAGGAAUGAUAGUAACAUAUUGCAAAGCCAGACACACAGCCAUGAUGGUCCAAGUUAUAUUGGGAUUCAGCCAAUAGAAGAUAUUUUGCCUGUCAUCCCUAAGCUUAGGACAAUAGACUCUGCCAAGAGAGGGGAUUAUUACAUAUUGCAGAGCCCAGCACCUAGGUGGAGUGACUCUCAUCUUUUUCUUCUACCCCGUAUAUAGCCAGCUUGGUGACCUACUAUUUGAGUCUAUACCCAGGCCCAGACCACAGAUGAAAUUGUGCAAUAUGUGGAACAAACACCUAAACAAUAUAUAACACCUUCCUUGGCUCUGUCUACAAAGGGCACUUUUAUAUAUCACUGGGACCAUCAACCAGGUGAUAUAACCCUCUUCUCUGGAAUGGGCCCCACACAAAGGAAGGAUAGUGACAUAUUGCAAGCCCAGGCACACAGGCCCAGAGCACAGUUGAAAUUGUGACAUAUGUACACCAAGCAACCAAGCAAUGUAUAACACCUCAUUUGGCAAUGGAAUCGAGGGCACUUUUACAUAUCACUGAGACCAGCGCCCAGCUGAUGUGAAAUAUUGGCCUGAACCCUGCCUACAAAAGCAUUGUGGCUUUUAUCUAGCUCCAUUACAUAAGUGAUGUGACUUCCUUCUACUGCCUUGGCCCUGCACUUAUGGUGAAUCGUGACACAAAAUUGGGUAGAGCAACCAGCCUGGGCCCUGACCAGCACAGAGAUUGAGGCAUAUUGCUGAACCCAGGACCAAGAUGAAGUCACUCUCCUGCCUUGAUCCUGCACACAGGGACCCUUGUGACAUAUAUACAGGCCAAUUGCCUAGGUGAUGUUGUGCAAUAUACCUGAGACCAGAUCAAUGGCCUAAUAAUGACUCUUUUACCUAGAGCCAGGACAUGUGCAGGAUGGUAACUCUCAUCCCUGAACCUUUCCACAGGUGUUAUUGUCACAUAUACCUUUUCCAGCUCCAAAGUGAUUUAAUAAUCCAGCC